GGAGAUCCCUAGGAGCCAGCCUGCUGGGAGAACCAGAGGGUCCGGAGCAAACCUGGAGGCUGAGAGGGCAUCAGAGGGGAAAAGACUGAGCUAGCCACUCCAGUGCCAUACAGAAGCUUAAGGGACGCACCACGCCAGCCCCAGCCCAGCGACAGCCAACGCCUGUUGCAGAGCGGCGGCUUCGAAGCCGCCGCCCAGGAGCUGCCCUUUCCUCUUCGGUGAAGUUUCUAAAAGCUGCGGGAGACUCAGAGGAAGCAAGGAAAGUGUCCGGUAGGACUACGGCUGCCUUUGUCCUCUUCCCCUCUACCCUUACCCCCUCCUGGGUCCCCUCUCCAGGAGCUGACUAGGCAGGCUUUCUGGCCAACCCUCUCCCCUACACCCCCAGCUCUGCCAGCCAGUUUGCACAGAGGUAAACUCCCUUUGGCUGAGAGUAGGGGAGCUUGUUGCACAUUGCAAGGAAGGCUUUUGGGAGCCCAGAGACUGAGGAGCAACAGCACGCCCAGGAGAGUCCCUGGUUCCAGGUUCUCGCCCCUGCACCUCCUCCUGCCCGCCCCUCACCCUGUGUGUGGUGUUAGAAAUGAAAAGAUGAAAAGGCAGCUAGGGUUUCAGUAGUCGAAAGCAAAACAAAAGC
RNAcentral lists this long non-coding RNA (631 nucleotides) under Mus musculus (house mouse). RNAcentral describes it as "long non-coding RNA chrX:98148768-98149399". The record is from RNAcentral. Lineage: Eukaryota; Metazoa; Chordata; Mammalia; Rodentia; Muridae.